AACCUGCGGAAGGAUCAUCA
This 20-nucleotide ribosomal RNA is filed under the name Briareum asbestinum (deadman's fingers). RNAcentral describes it as "partial 18S ribosomal RNA". The record is from RNAcentral. Lineage: Eukaryota; Metazoa; Cnidaria; Anthozoa; Scleralcyonacea; Briareidae.